UUGCACUGAUUUCAACAAUGAAGCGAGUGGCGAACUGGUGAGUAACACGUGGGAAAUCUGCCCAGAAGCAGGGGAUAACACUUGGAAACAGGUGCUAAUACCGUAUAACAACAAAAUCCGCAUGGAUUUUGUUUGAAAGGUGGCUUCGGCUAUCACUUCUGGAUGAUCCCGCGGCGUAUUAGUUAGUUGGUGAGGUAAAGGCCCACCAAGACGAUGAUACGUAGCCCGACCUGAGGAGGGUAAUCGGCCACAGUUGGGACUGAGACACCGGACCCAAACUCC
RNAcentral lists this ribosomal RNA (282 nucleotides) under uncultured Lactobacillus sp. Its description in RNAcentral is "partial 16S ribosomal RNA". It matches the Rfam family "Bacterial small subunit ribosomal RNA", at positions 62 to 339 of the family's 1533-position model. Lineage: Bacteria; Bacillati; Bacillota; Bacilli; Lactobacillales; Lactobacillaceae. The record is from RNAcentral.